GGGGUUUUUUUUAUUUUGGGGGGGGGGGCCAAACAUGCAAGUCGAGCGAAUGGAUUAAGAGCUUGCUCUUAUGAAGUUAGCGGCGGACGGGUGAGUAACACGUGGGUAACCUGCCCAUAAGACUGGGAUAACUCCGGGAAACCGGGGCUAAUACCGGAUAACAUUUUGAACCGCAUGGUUCGAAAUUGAAAGGCGGCUUCGGCUGUCACUUAUGGAUGGACCCGCGUCGCAUUAGCUAGUUGGUGAGGUAACGGCUCACCAAGGCAACGAUGCGUAGCCGACCUGAGAGGGUGAUCGGCCACACUGGGACUGAGACACGGCCCAGACUCCUACGGGAGGCAGCAGUAGGGAAUCUUCCGCAAUGGACGAAAGUCUGACGGAGCAACGCCGCGUGAGUGAUGAAGGCUUUCGGGUCGUAAAACUCUGUUGUUAGGGAAAAACAAGUGCUAGUUGAAUAAGCUGGCACCUUGACGGUACCUAACCAGAAAGCCACGGCUAACUACGUGCCAGCAGCCGCGGUAAUACGUAGGUGGCAAGCGUUAUCCGGAAUUAUUGGGCGUAAAGCGCGCGCAGGUGGUUUCUUAAGUCUGAUGUGAAAGCCCACGGCUCAACCGUGGAGGGUCAUUGGAAACUGGGGAGACUUGAGUGCACAAGAGGAAAGUGGAAUUCCAUGUGUACCGGUGAAAAUGCGGCAGAGAUGUGGAGGAACACCAGUGGCGCAGGGCGACUUUCUGGUGUGUUACUGACACUGAGGCGCGUAAAGCGUGGGGGAGGCACACCAGCAGUAAAUAGACCUGGUAGUUCAACCCCCGACAAAAAUGAGUGCGUAGC
Molecule: ribosomal RNA, 831 nt
Filed under: bacterium
Lineage: Bacteria
Description: bacterial SSU rRNA
Rfam family: Bacterial small subunit ribosomal RNA
Source: RNAcentral